UCGAGGAUCUUCGGCAAUGGGCGCAAGCCCGACCGAGCGACGCCGCGUGUGCGAUGAAGGCCUUCGGUUGUAAAGCACUGUCGAGGGGGAGGAAAAGCCCGCAAGGGUUUGAUCGACCUCUGGAGGAAGCACGGGCUAAGUUCGUGCCAGCAGCCGCGGUAAGACGAACCGUGCAAACGUUGUUCGGAAUCACUGGGCUUAAAGGGCGCGUAGGCGGGCAAGCAAGUCGAAGGUGAAAUCCCACGGCUCAACCGUGGAAGUACCCCCGAUACUGCUUGUCUUGAGGGAGAUAGGGGCGUGCGGAACUUCCGGUGGAGCGGUGAAAUGCGUAGAUAUCGGAAGGAACACCGGUGGCGAAAGCGGCGCGCUGGAUCUCUUCUGACGCUGAGGCGCGAAAGCCAGGGGAGCAAACGGGAUUAGAUACCCCGGUAGUCCUGGCCCUAAACGUUGGGUACUAGGUAGUGACUUACAUGGGUUCACUGCCGAAGCAAAAGUG
This 496-nucleotide ribosomal RNA is filed under the name uncultured Planctomycetota bacterium. Its description in RNAcentral is "bacterial SSU rRNA". It matches the Rfam family "Bacterial small subunit ribosomal RNA", at positions 355 to 859 of the family's 1533-position model. The record is from RNAcentral. Lineage: Bacteria; Pseudomonadati; Planctomycetota.